UGGGCUUGGUGGUGUCAAAAAGUACUUUGGCGAUGGACCUUGGUGGUGGCGGCAGCGGAUCCUGACGGCAAUUGUCCAAAUCCGCCAAGAAGAAGCUAAGAAAAGAACCUUGUCAAAAGAGAAUUGAAGUCCUCGUCUCUGGAUGUACUCUGAUCACUGUCCAACCAAACUCCCAAAUGAUAGCAAUAGUUGCUUGAAUCGAGUUCGGCUGCGUGAUUUUUUCUAG
This is a long non-coding RNA of Cucurbita moschata (crookneck pumpkin), 226 nucleotides long. RefSeq lists it as uncharacterized. The record is from RefSeq and is a predicted model, not a curated record. Lineage: Eukaryota; Viridiplantae; Streptophyta; Magnoliopsida; Cucurbitales; Cucurbitaceae. The transcript has 2 exons.